ACGUAGGGGGCAAGCGUUAUCCGGAUUUACUGGGUGUAAAGGGAGCGUAGACGGCAAUACAAGUCGGAAGUGAAAUACCCGGGCUCAACCUGGGAACUGCUUUGGAAACUGUAUGGCUGGAGUGCUGGAGAGGUAAGCGGAAUUCCUAGUGUAGCGGUGAAAUGCGUAGAUAUUAGGAGGAACACCAGUGGCGAAGGCGGCUUACUGGACAGUAACUGACGUUGAGGCUCGAAAGCGUGGGGAGCAAA
RNAcentral lists this ribosomal RNA (248 nucleotides) under uncultured bacterium. Its description in RNAcentral is "partial 16S ribosomal RNA". It matches the Rfam family "Bacterial small subunit ribosomal RNA", at positions 525 to 772 of the family's 1533-position model. The record is from RNAcentral.